Molecule: unclassified non-coding RNA, 803 nt
Filed under: Hevea brasiliensis (rubber tree)
Lineage: Eukaryota; Viridiplantae; Streptophyta; Magnoliopsida; Malpighiales; Euphorbiaceae
Source: RNAcentral
AAAACUAGAGAAAAUGGAAAGAGAAAAUAAAUUGCAGAUCAAAGACCAGCCGAAACUAGUCCAUGCAGUGUAACAAUGCCAAUCACCAUAUUUUGAUGAUUGAUCACAGGCAAAAAUUGUACAGGAGAUGGUGGUGAUUCCAUCUUCUUCAUGGCUUCCACAGCCAUUGCAUCUUGACCAAUUGUUCUUGGGUUCCUGUUGCACAUCUCCCCCACUGUUAGUUUAAAGAUGCCUUUCCCACUAGCUUUGAGAGUGCGCCUAAGAUCACCAUCCGUAAAUGUUCCAAUCAGGUGAUACUCUUCAUCAAUAACAAGCAGGCAACCGCAGCCUUUACUUGAUAGUUCAACUAGCUGAUCCAUUAUCAAAUCUCCUUCCCUGCAGACUGGAAGCUCAUCUUGCUUCUUCAUAACAUCUUUUACCUUAAAAAUCAAGCUCUUUCCGAUCCUCCCAGCGGGAUGAUUAGCAGCAUACUCAUCCUUAGUCAAAUUCCUGGCUCCCAUAAGCGCAAUCGCCACCGUAUCGCCAAAAACCAUCUGUAUAGCAGUGGAAGUAACGGGAGCCAAAUCAAAAGGACACAAUUCCCUCUCCAACGGCAAAUGUACAUUCAUAUCACAGACGGAAGCAAGAGCAUUGCCUUCCACGGACGUCACAGACACAAGGUAAGCGCCCUUAGCCUUAGCGCAAGGCACAAGGCGCAACAACUCCUCAGUAUUCCCAGAUUUACUAAAGAGCACGAGAAUGUCACGGGCGGUGAGGAUACCAAUAUCGCCAUGAAGGGCGUCGAGAGGGGAAAGGAAGCCAGC